AUGGUGAAGAGUGUUAGCUUCCUCGUCGCGGUGCUUACCAUGGCCGUCUCCCUUCACUCGACGCAUGCGGUCUCUGCCGCAUUAUUCAAUCCCAAAGCCAUUGCUCAGCACCUUCCUAAGGUGGAUGGCUGGACCAAAGAAAACCUCAAGUCGAUGAAAAAGCUGAAGGAAAUUGUAGAUGCAGCCAAAGACGGUGUCGAGAAAGGCAUUAAGUUUCAUGAUAAGGACGCGCAAGGCCGCAGCAUCCAGUACUCCAGGGUCACCGGCAUAAUAGUCGGCGAUCACAAGCUUGAGGACGGCCAGCACGGUGUGAUCCUGAUCGUCACGGCCUUUCCUUUCCCGUUCCUCAACGAGAAGGCGUUCGGGCUACUCAAGGAUGAGUUCAGUACGGCCAAGGAGCUCCACCGUCAAUUCGGCCCGCUGUGCACGACGGACCUGUACCCGCCGGUCACGCUGGUCUACGCCGACGACGGUGCCGAGAAGAAGCAGGAGUGCCCCUGGCACAAGCAGAGCGACGGGUCCAUGUGCUUGGGCAUCCUCACGUUCCAGAAAUAG
Molecule: ribosomal RNA, 555 nt
Filed under: Triticum aestivum (bread wheat)
Lineage: Eukaryota; Viridiplantae; Streptophyta; Magnoliopsida; Poales; Poaceae
Description: partial small subunit ribosomal RNA
Source: RNAcentral